UUCCUAGUGGUCCAGUGCUUAAGACCCUGCAUUUCUACUGCAGGGGUUUUAGGUUCAAUUCCUCCUCAGGAAC
This 73-nucleotide transfer RNA is filed under the name Ovis aries (sheep). It matches the Rfam family "tRNA". Rfam says of the family: Transfer RNA (tRNA) molecules are approximately 80 nucleotides in length. Their secondary structure includes four short double-helical elements and three loops (D, anti-codon, and T loops). Lineage: Eukaryota; Metazoa; Chordata; Mammalia; Artiodactyla; Bovidae. The record is from Rfam by way of RNAcentral.